RNAcentral lists this ribosomal RNA (305 nucleotides) under uncultured bacterium. RNAcentral describes it as "bacterial SSU rRNA". It matches the Rfam family "Bacterial small subunit ribosomal RNA", at positions 335 to 632 of the family's 1533-position model. The record is from RNAcentral.
GACCCUACGGGGCGCAGCAGUAGGGAAUCUUCGGCAAUGGGCAAAAGCCUGACCGAGCAACGCCGCGUGAAUGAAGAAGGCCUUCGGGUUGUAAAAUUCUGUUAUAAGGGAAGAAAGGUGAUAGGAGGAAAUGACUAUCAAUUGACGGUACCUUAUGAGAAAGCCACGGCUAACUACGUGCCAGCAGCCGCGGUAAUACGUAGGUGGCAAGCGUUGUCCGGAUUUACUGGGUGUAAAGGGCGUGCAGCCGGGAAGACAAGUCAGAUGUGAAAUCCCGCGGCUCAACCGCGGAACUGCAUUUGAAA